UACGUAGGGGGCAAGCGUUGUCCGGAUUUACUGGGCGUAAAGCGCGUGUAGGUGGGAGUGCAAGUCCGGUGGGAAAGCCCGCGGCUCAACCGCGGAAGUUCGCUGGAAACUGUGCUUCUUGAGGGUGAUAGAGGGAAGUGGAAUUGCUGGUGUAGCGGUGAAAUGCGUAGAUAUCAGCAGGAACACCCGUGGCGAAGGCGGCUUCCUGGAUCACCCCUGACACUGAGACGCGAAAGCGUGGGGAGCAAACAGG
This 253-nucleotide ribosomal RNA is filed under the name uncultured bacterium. Its description in RNAcentral is "partial 16S ribosomal RNA". It matches the Rfam family "Bacterial small subunit ribosomal RNA", at positions 524 to 776 of the family's 1533-position model. The record is from RNAcentral.